RNAcentral lists this ribosomal RNA (253 nucleotides) under uncultured bacterium. RNAcentral's name for it is "partial 16S ribosomal RNA". It matches the Rfam family "Bacterial small subunit ribosomal RNA", at positions 524 to 776 of the family's 1533-position model. The record is from RNAcentral.
UACGUAGGGUGCGAGCGUUAUCCGGAUUUACUGGGCGUAAAGCGUCUGUAGGCUGAAUAGUAAGUGUUGGGUUAAAAACCGUGGCUUAACCACGGGCCAGCUUGACAUACUGCUAUUCUAGAGUGUGUUCGGGGAGGUUGGAAUUCUCGGUGGAGGGGUGAAAUCCGUUGAUAUCGAGAGGAACGCCAAGGGUGAAGACAGGCCUCUAGAACAUUACUGACGCUGAGAGACGAAAGCUAGGGUAGCAAACCGG